GGGAGGUAGUGACAAUAAAUAACAAUACGGGGUUCUUUCGGAUCUCGUAAUUGGAAUGAGUACAAUUUAAAUCUCUUAACGAGGAACAAUUGGAGGGCAAGUCUGGUGCCAGCAGCCGCGGUAAUUCCAGCUCCAAUAGCGUAUAUUAAAGUUGUUGCAGUUAAAAAGCUCGUAGUUGAAUUUCGGGGUUAGUAGGCUGGUCAUGCCUCUGGUAUGUACUGGUCUCACUGAUUCCUCCUUCCUGAUGAGCCGUAAUGCCAUUAAUUUGGUGUUGCGGGGAAUUUGGACUGUUACUUUGAAAAAAUUAGAGUGUUUAAAGCAAGCAUUAGCUUGAAUACAUUAGCAUGGAAUAAUGAAAUAGGACGUUUGAUCCUAUUUCGUUGGUUUCUAGGAUCGACGUAAUGAUUAAUAGGGAUAGUUGGG
This 423-nucleotide ribosomal RNA is filed under the name uncultured Glomeraceae. RNAcentral describes it as "SSU rRNA". It matches the Rfam family "Eukaryotic small subunit ribosomal RNA", at positions 459 to 886 of the family's 1831-position model. Lineage: Eukaryota; Fungi; Glomeromycota; Glomeromycetes; Glomerales; Glomeraceae. The record is from RNAcentral.